UACGGAGGGUGCGAGCGUUGUCCGGAAUCAUUGGGCGUAAAGGGCGCGUAGGUGGCCUGGUCAGCGUGCGGUGAAAGCUCGGGGCUCAACCCCGAGUCGGCCGUGCGAACUGCUGGGCUGGAGCACUGUAGAGGCAGGCGGAAUUCCGGGUGUAGCGGUGGAAUGCGUAGAGAUCCGGAAGAACACCGGUGGCGAAGGCGGCCUGCUGGGCAGUUGCUGACACUGAGGCGCGACAGCGUGGGGAGCAAACAGG
RNAcentral lists this ribosomal RNA (253 nucleotides) under uncultured bacterium. Its description in RNAcentral is "partial 16S ribosomal RNA". It matches the Rfam family "Bacterial small subunit ribosomal RNA", at positions 524 to 776 of the family's 1533-position model. The record is from RNAcentral.